GGAGAGGAACAUCUCUCACUACAAACUACUUAGGGGGAAAAUGUCCUCUUUCAUGCCUGACUCUACUAUGCAUUCCAAGUUUUUCUUCUCUAUGAUAAUUUCUCUCUUAAUAGCAGGUGGUGAACUGGAUAGCAGAGUCACUCAACAUCCAAGUUACCUGGUUUCAAGGACAGGACAGUCAGUGACCCUGGGAUGUGACCCCAUCUCUGGACACCUUGGGGCAUUCUGGUACCGUCAGAUACUGGGUCAGGGCCCUGAGAUGCUCUUUUCCGUGUAUAAUAAGGGAGACCCUGAGAAAGGAGAAAUCUCUGAUCGAUUCACAGCCAAACAGGGCAUCGAUUUGCACUUCAAGCUCAACAUCAGUUCCUUGGAGCAGGGGGAUUCUGCCCUCUAUCUCUGUGCCAGCAGCAAAGACACAGUGCCACACAGGCACGUCCCAUCUGUUCACAAACCUGUUUGGCCCAAGCCCAGAAAGCAAUAA
Trichosurus vulpecula (common brushtail) is the source of this 481-nucleotide non-coding RNA. Lineage: Eukaryota; Metazoa; Chordata; Mammalia; Diprotodontia; Phalangeridae. The record is from the annotation of a RefSeq genome assembly.